RNAcentral lists this ribosomal RNA (486 nucleotides) under uncultured bacterium. Its description in RNAcentral is "partial 16S ribosomal RNA". It matches the Rfam family "Bacterial small subunit ribosomal RNA", at positions 28 to 507 of the family's 1533-position model. The record is from RNAcentral.
GAUGAACGCUGGCGGCGUGCCUAAUACAUGCAAGUCGAACGCUGGAGAUCUGGCUUGCUAGAUCGAAGGAGUGGCGAACGGGUGAGUAAUACAUAAGCAACCUACCCACGAAGACUGGGAUAAUCUCUGGAAACGGGGACUAAUACCGGAUAGGUAAUCGGAAGGCAUCUUCUGGUUAUUAAAGGUUAAAAACACUGGUGGAUGGGCUUAUGGCGCAUUAGUUAGUUGGUGAGGUAACGGCCCACCAAGACGAUGAUGCGUAGCCGGCCUGAGAGGGUGAACGGCCACAUUGGGACUGAGACACGGCCCAGACUCCUACGGGAGGCAGCAGUAGGGAAUUUUCGGCAAUGGGGGCAACCCUGACCGAGCAACGCCGCGUGAGUGAAGACGGCCUUCGGGUUGUAAAGCUCUGUUGUAAGGGAAGAACGGUAGAUAGAGAAUAUCUAAGUGACGGUACCUUACCAGAAAGCCACGGCUAACUACGUG